RNAcentral lists this unclassified non-coding RNA (1129 nucleotides) under Hevea brasiliensis (rubber tree). The record is from RNAcentral. Lineage: Eukaryota; Viridiplantae; Streptophyta; Magnoliopsida; Malpighiales; Euphorbiaceae.
GCGAAGGGCUAUCAAACUAGUUGAUGUUUACAUCCAUCGACCAAUACUUAGAAACUGAAGUCUGAUUCUGAUUCCCAUUUCCCUUAAUCAUUAAUCAAUAGGCUAAUCAGAAAACGGAAACGGAGCGAAGCCAAUCUCUGGUUGACAAAAGUCCUUUCUCGAUACCAGAUUCGGAAUCGGUAGUGAGGGGGGGUAACCUGGCGUUGUUAGGAUAAGAAAGAGGCCAAUCCUGAGAAACUGAAGUUCCGUAUACGGGGUUAAGACUGCCUGGCUUUAAAAAACCAGCUUCUUAAAAGCCUGGAAAUGCGUCAUAUGGACAAAACGCACGUUUGGCACUCAAAAUAAUCCCAUGCGAGGGAUGUCCAACAUGCCUUAACGGCUCCUUCUGCAGCCAAUCCGUUCAAGUAAUUGCCCUAUUCUAUUAGAAGGGGUCUACAGCUCAGCUUUCCCAGAAGACCUACUAGUAUACUACAGCUUUCCCAGAGGUAUAUCUUUGUUCUUAGGAGAAAGAUUCCAGGAGUCGGACCUAUAAUCUAAGACUAGCCGGAUUCGGCUAACAUUCCUAACUUCUUCUUCUUCAGCUACUUCUGCUAUACAAGCCCUCUCCUUUCUUUCUAAACGGAAAGGACUUUGACGACUUUUUCGACACCAGAUGACCCCCACACCGCCUUUCUAUAGCUGUAGGCUUCUUCAGAGGCCUCUCCAACGAAAGAAAGUUUUCACUCCUCAAUGCGCUAUCUAGAUAAGGUGUCCAACUGGCCAGAAGCCAUCCUUCUUUGCUUUGCCCGAUCCAGCUUCAAGCGCGAAGGCCCUACCUAUUGGCUAGGCCCAUAAUCCUCUUCGGCAACCUGCCUGGGUCGGCUGACGAGCGGAGCCUGAGGGAGUAGCUGACUUCCUUUCCUAAAGAAAAGCCUGAUUCAUCUUCUGAUUCUUAGCCCAAUGCUAAUCCCUUGCGAAGUUUAGCUGCUUCUCCUUUUCCUUUCUUCUUAUCAAUCUUCUUCUUAUGUCUAUCUUUCUUUCCUUUCUUCUUCUUAUCAAUCUUAUUAUUUUUCUUCUCAAAUAUAUAUAAUUUUUGUGUCGCAUUUUAGAUUUAAUGUAAGUAAUUAUUUAUUUGUUUUAAUAUUUUUUU